UCAAAGUUAUCCCCCCAUACGUUUCCUCCUGAAAUCUUUACCACAAUUACGAACCAUCUAGGUUAUAAAAGUCAAAAUUCACUUACCAAUUUUGUUCGAACAAUCGAAUUACCCCUUCAUUUUUUACUUUCUCGUUUUUAUAUUUAUCUUGCAAGAACAAUCAAACAAUGGUGCGAACGGUAAAGAAGGAAUUGAUGGACAAUCGAGCACCAGAAUGCAGAAUGCUACAGUCGAAAUAUCUCACCUUUAAGAAUCAGAUUAGCAGUAAUUUGAUUUCACAUCAUUUUAGUAAUUUCUUUGGUUUUUUUUUCCAUAUUCUUUUUUUUUCAUAUUUGUUUAGUUUGAUUAAUUUGUAUUUAGCGAAGAGAUUAAUGAAAGCGCUUAUUGCAAAAAUCUCUAUAUUUCGUUCUGUUUUGUCUUCAUAUAUUGUAAAAAAUUGUGUGUUUUAAUCUUUAAUUUAAUUUUCUUCCAAAAUGGGUGCUUUUGGGAAGUGGAUAAAAUCACUCGUUGGUCUGAAAAAAUGGGGAUCAAAUGACUCUAUAAGCUAAUAAUCUUUCUAUUAUCUUUAUAUGAUUUUUUUUUUUUUUGAUGUUUUAAGCAAUGAUUUUUAUAUUGAAUUGUGUUGAGCCUAAUAAUCUUUGUAUUAUCUUUAUAUGAUUUUUUUGGUGUUUAAUUAAUGAUUUUUAUAUUGAACUAUGUUGAGCUUAAUUCAUAUCUAAUGAUGUGUUUGGUUGGGCUUAAUAGUUGUUGUUGACUUCUUGUUGCCUUUUUGGUUUAAUGAUUGUUAUUGUUGUGUCGUCCACAAGUUGCUCGCCGAAAAUGCCUGCUCGAUUUGUGCUAGACUGAUAGGGUUCGUCUUGAAACAAGUACGAGCCGCCCACGGGUCGAGUCCCAAUGGUCGAGCUGAUGAUAUCACUGUUUAGCCCGUGCUUCCAAAUUCUUGGAUCUGCCCGUGGACGGAAGAAGUAGGUAUUGAUAUCAGAAACAACAGAGCUGAAUUAGACGUUUUAUUUUCAGAAUUAUAGGUGGCAAAAACAGAGGUGGUUUCCAAUUUCGUUUUACAAGUUAGUUGUCUCAUUUUUAUUUACUUAUGGCAAGAAUAUUGCAAUUCAUUUCUCCUUUCUCUGAACUUUGCUGGUAUAUCUUAGAUCUUUGUCUGAUUAGAAGUUCGCAUUUCCUCGUGUUGAAUAUUAUUGUAUUUGGUUCAAUCUUUGAUGGUUUUCAAUAAGACACUUUGCUUCGGAUGAAUGCUUUCAUAAUUUUAGUGUAUUUUUAGCUGAAGGAACAUUAAUUUACGAAUGGUACAUUAAUUUUCUGUACAGAAUGCAAAAGAACUUGUAUGUAUUAGAUCAAUUUAGAAACUUGAAACCAUGAACAAAGAUUCAUAUCAGUGAUUCCGCUCGUAAGUCGGAAAUUUCUCCUAAUUUCAAGGGAUCUUACAGAUUGAUCAGUAAUUGGUCAAUCUAGAUAGUGGCUGCACGAAAUAAGACUGUUACUUAACCAAGUCAGAAGAUCUUUUUAUCUUUAUGAAUACGAUCACUUAAUAUUUCUUAGUUAUGACACCUGUCUUUGAUGCUUUUACAGGAGUACGAACAUGCUUACUCAUGUUCUUGAAUUGAGGCCGUUGACAUGUCGAAUGAUUUUCUUCUAACGAGAAGGCAGGUGAUUGUUAAAGAAUUAGCGUGUGAAUUAUCAAGACUGCACAGCACAAAAUCUGGCCUGUGGAGCAUGAGAUUUAGCCGAUCUUCCCCCACCACCAAG
This 1761-nucleotide long non-coding RNA is filed under the name Olea europaea (common olive). RNAcentral describes it as "long non-coding RNA (OEUR_LNC003767)". Lineage: Eukaryota; Viridiplantae; Streptophyta; Magnoliopsida; Lamiales; Oleaceae. The record is from RNAcentral.